Arvicanthis niloticus (Nile rat) is the source of this 390-nucleotide non-coding RNA. NCBI's taxonomy places the organism in Eukaryota, Metazoa, Chordata, Mammalia, Rodentia, Muridae. The record is from the annotation of a RefSeq genome assembly.
AUGAAUUGGAGCUGGAUCUGUCUCUUCCUCCUGUCAGUAAUUACAGGUGUGCACUCUCAGGUUCAACUGCAGCAGUCUGAGGCUGAGUUGGUGAGGCCUGGGGCUUCAGUGAAGAUGUCCUGCAAGGCCUCUGGCUAUACCUUCACUGACUAUAUUAUGCACUGGCUGAAGCAGAAGCCUGGACAGGGCCUGGAAUGGAUUGGAGCUAUUAAUACUGGAAGUGGUGGUACUAUCUACAAUGAGAAGUUCAAGGGCAAGGCCACCUUGACUGCAGACACAUCCUCUAACACAGCCUACUUGCAGCUCAGUAGCCUGACAUCUGAGGAUUCUGAGGUCUAUUACUGUGCAAGACACAGUGUUUUAGCAAACUUUUAUGGGGAUCAGAUAUGA